UGGUCUUGACAUGUACAGAAGGUUUUAGAGAUAAGACUGUGCCUUCGGGAACUGUAACACAGGUGCUGCAUGGCUGUCGUCAGCUCGUGUCGUGAGAUGUUGGGUUAAGUCCCGCAACGAGCGCAACCCUUGUCAUUAGUUGCCAUCAUUAAGUUGGGCACUCUAAUGAGACCGCCGGUGAUAAACCGGAGGAAGGUGGGGAUGAUGUCAAGUCAUCAUGGCCCUUAUGACCAGGGCUUCACACGUCAUACAAUGGUAGGUACAGAGGGUAGCGAAGCGGCGACGUGAAGCCAAUCUCAGAAAGCCUAUCGUAGUCCGGAUUGUAGUCUGCAACUCGACUACAUGAAGUCGGAAUCGCUAGUAAUCGCAGAUCAGCAUGUUGCGGUGAAUACGUUCCCGGGUC
Molecule: ribosomal RNA, 403 nt
Filed under: uncultured bacterium
Lineage: Bacteria
Description: bacterial SSU rRNA
Rfam family: Bacterial small subunit ribosomal RNA
Source: RNAcentral